Molecule: ribosomal RNA, 112 nt
Filed under: Caerostris darwini
Lineage: Eukaryota; Metazoa; Arthropoda; Arachnida; Araneae; Araneidae
Source: RNAcentral
AACGGCCGUACCAUGCUGAAUAUACCGGUUCUCGUUAGAUCACCGAAGUUAAGCAUCAUUGGGCGCGGUCAGUACUUGGGUGGGUGGCCACCUGGAAACACUGCGUGCCGUU